GAUGAACGCUGGCGGCGUGCCCAAUACAUGCAAGUCGAACGGCAGCACGGGUGCUUGCACCUGGUGGCGAGUGGCGAACGGGUGAGUAAUAUAUCGGAACGUACCUUAUUGUGGGGGAUAACGCAGCGAAAGCUGUGCUAAUACCGCAUAAUCCCUAAGGGGGAAAGCGGGGGACCGUAAGGCCUCGCGCAAUUAGAGCGGCCGAUACCUGAUUAGCUAGUUGGUGAGGUAAAGGCUCACCAAGGCAACGAUCAGUAGCUGGUCUGAGAGGACGAUCAGCCACACUGGGACUGAGACACGGCCCAGACUCCUACGGGAGGCAGCAGUGGGGAAUUUUGGACAAUGGGGGCAACCCUGAUCCAGCAAUGCCGCGUGAGUGAAGAAGGCCUUCGGGUUGUAAAGCUCUUUUGUCAGGGAAGAAACAGCAGCUCUAACACAGUUUGCGAAUGACGGUACCUGAAGAAUAAGCAACGGCUAACUACGUGCCAGCCGCCGCGGUAA
RNAcentral lists this ribosomal RNA (501 nucleotides) under uncultured bacterium. RNAcentral describes it as "partial 16S ribosomal RNA". It matches the Rfam family "Bacterial small subunit ribosomal RNA", at positions 28 to 523 of the family's 1533-position model. The record is from RNAcentral.